Molecule: ribosomal RNA, 1509 nt
Filed under: Helicobacter pylori
Lineage: Bacteria; Pseudomonadati; Campylobacterota; Epsilonproteobacteria; Campylobacterales; Helicobacteraceae
Description: bacterial SSU rRNA
Rfam family: Bacterial small subunit ribosomal RNA
Source: RNAcentral
UUUAUGGAGAGUUUGAUCCUGGCUCAGAGUGAACGCUGGCGGCGUGCCUAAUACAUGCAAGUCGAACGAUGAAGCUUCUAGCUUGCUAGAGUGCUGAUUAGUGGCGCACGGGUGAGUAACGCAUAGGUCAUGUGCCUCUUAGUUUGGGAUAGCCAUUGGAAACGAUGAUUAAUACCAGAUACUCCCUAUGGGGGAAAGAUUUAUCGCUAAGAGAUCAGCCUAUGUCCUAUCAGCUUGUUGGUAAGGUAAUGGCUUACCAAGGCUAUGACGGGUAUCCGGCCUGAGAGGGUGAACGGACACACUGGAACUGAGACACGGUCCAGACUCCUACGGGAGGCAGCAGUAGGGAAUAUUGCUCAAUGGGGGAAACCCUGAAGCAGCAACGCCGCGUGGAGGAUGAAGGUUUUAGGAUUGUAAACUCCUUUUGUUAGAGAAGAUAAUGACGGUAUCUAACGAAUAAGCACCGGCUAACUCCGUGCCAGCAGCCGCGGUAAUACGGAGGGUGCAAGCGUUACUCGGAAUCACUGGGCGUAAAGAGCGCGUAGGCGGGAUAGUCAGUCAGGUGUGAAAUCCUAUGGCUUAACCAUAGAACUGCAUUUGAAACUACUAUUCUAGAGUGUGGGAGAGGUAGGUGGAAUUCUUGGUGUAGGGGUAAAAUCCGUAGAGAUCAAGAGGAAUACUCAUUGCGAAGGCGACCUGCUGGAACAUUACUGACGCUGAUUGCACGAAAGCGUGGGGAGCAAACAGGAUUAGAUACCCUGGUAGUCCACGCCCUAAACGAUGGAUGCUAGUUGUUGGAGGGCUUAGUCUCUCCAGUAAUGCAGCUAACGCAUUAAGCAUCCCGCCUGGGGAGUACGGUCGCAAGAUUAAAACUCAAAGGAAUAGACGGGGACCCGCACAAGCGGUGGAGCAUGUGGUUUAAUUCGAAGAUACACGAAGAACCUUACCUAGGCUUGACAUUGAGAGAAUCCGCUAGAAAUAGUGGAGUGUCUAGCUUGCUAGACCUUGAAAACAGGUGCUGCACGGCUGUCGUCAGCUCGUGUCGUGAGAUGUUGGGUUAAGUCCCGCAACGAGCGCAACCCCCUUUCUUAGUUGCUAACAGGUUAUGCUGAGAACUCUAAGGAUACUGCCUCCGUAAGGAGGAGGAAGGUGGGGACGACGUCAAGUCAUCAUGGCCCUUACGCCUAGGGCUACACACGUGCUACAAUGGGGUGCACAAAGAGAAGCAAUACUGCGAAGUGGAGCCAAUCUUCAAAACGCCUCUCAGUUCGGAUUGUAGGCUGCAACUCGCCUGCAUGAAGCUGGAAUCGCUAGUAAUCGCAAAUCAGCCAUGUUGCGGUGAAUACGUUCCCGGGUCUUGUACUCACCGCCCGUCACACCAUGGGAGUUGUGUUUGCCUUAAGUCAGGAUGCUAAAUUAGCUACUGCCCACGGCACACACAGCGACUGGGGUGAAGUCGUAACAAGGUAACCGUAGGUGAACCUGCGGUUGGAUCACCUCCUUUCUAGA